This is a long non-coding RNA of Brassica napus (rape), 1140 nucleotides long. RefSeq lists it as uncharacterized. The transcript is spliced from 2 exons. The record is from RefSeq and is a predicted model, not a curated record. NCBI's taxonomy places the organism in Eukaryota, Viridiplantae, Streptophyta, Magnoliopsida, Brassicales, Brassicaceae.
UUUUGGAAGUAAAUUUAUGUUAUAAUAAAUCAGCUAUUUUUCAUUGUAAUUAAUAACUUCAUGAGAAAUGUAUAAAAUAAAAAAGUUAGCAGCCUAUGGGCUAUGGCUAUAAUGGUGUGAAUAAGUACGAAUGUAUAAAUAGUUGAUCAAAUUUGGGUAUUGUUAUCAUUAUUAUUAUUAUUAUUAUUAUUAUUAUUAUUAAAGACUGAUCUAUGCUACUCCACAGAAAUACUUAUUUCGGUUUUUAAAAAGUGUCACUUUUAUUUAUUUCACGAAAAUUUUAAAAAAUUAUAAUAGACUAUACCUUUAGUGAAAUGAAAUAAUUUAAAUAAAAUGAUAUUAGUUAUUCAAAAAAUAAAAUAGAUUUAAUUUAUAAAAUUAAUUGAAAAUGUAGAAUAAUAUUUGUUUUGAAACAAAAAAAAAAAACUAAAGUGACACUUUUAAAAAUUAGAGGGAGAAUAUGUAAAAAUAGUAUCACGAAGUUUGGGCUUGAAACGGCUAAGACCAUCCACAACGGGAUAUGUUAAAGGAAUCCUUAGCGCAAAUCCUUAGGUUUGUUUUAAUAAAAUAUUAUUAAUUAUCUUAAUUGAACUAAGGAUUGGUCCGUCGAGAAAGAUAUUAAGGAUCAAGUCCUUGUGUACGUGUCACCGCUUGAGUGGGUCGGUCUCAGUUUAGGGUUUGGCUUGGGUAAAAAAAAAAUCAUUCUCGACCGAAGGAGAAAAAAAAAAGAGCUCUCGAAAGAAAGGCGACAUCGCGGCGAUCUCUCUCCCUCGGCUUGACCAAGGUAAACGAAUAUGGGACAAGAUUACAGUUACAGCCAGCCAUCUUCAUCAUCAAACUUUGUAGACAUAACCUCCCUCCUUGAAGCAGAAGGUCAGAUGUACGCGGAUGAAGCUGAGAGUAGCUACAUCAUUUCUCUCGUUUGGUCUUUAGCUAUGUAUCACCUUCUCUUUGUUUCCUCUUUAUCAAAACUUGACUUAUGUUCUUGUGUUUUCUCGGAGAUGUUGUAAGAUGUUGCUACCAUGAUCUUCUAAAGAUCACAAAACCUGACUGAUCUCUUGUAAUAUUUGUGUGUAAGAAGUUCUUCUCUUGAUUAUCUUUGUAUCAAUAAUAAGACUUGCUAGAAUGUUAUAGUAAAAA